UUUGCUCUCUUCUUCUUCAUUGAUGAGUUUGUUCUGUUUUCAACUAUCACACCUCCUUUACUUUCUUUUUCUUCUUCACACCAUCUCUUUUCUCUUUUCUUCUGUAUGGAUGAAUGGUGUCUCUCUGUAUGUCCCCAAUUCCCAAAAGACGUUCACAGAGUUCCCGGUAAUUUUUGUUUUCUUUCGAUUCCCGUGUAUAUGGGUUAGUUCAUUCCUUCAUUUCUCGUUUUGAUUCUGUCUUUUCUCCACCGUAUGCGCAAACAGAAAGAGGAAGAAGAGAAACGAUGGGUUAGUUUUUUGUUUGCCAUGGUUCAGAAUUCAUUUUACUAUGAUAUAUUUUUGUCAUGGAGCAUUUUUUUCUGUAUCUAGCUAGUUUUAUUUUACCGAAAACAUAACUAUCAGGUUGCUUCCAUGGCUUGCUUGCUAGUGCUCACUUAGUGUGGUUUUUUCAUACCUUGUGUUGCAUGUUUAUAAGAAACACUUUCAUGUAUAUUCCCCUUGAUUGAUUUCAUGUUAAAGCUAGCAUUAGACGUAUUUCUUUUUUAACUUUCUUUUUCCUAGAAAAACAAAACUUUUUAAGGUUUGAAUAUCUGAACUUUUGGUAUAAUUUCACAAAAAGUAGCCAAUUUUUGUUACAAUCAAGUAUCUAUUUAUUUUAUCUUCUCCCUUUCCUUGGGAGGUAGACUUAAUUUUAAAAUGUUACUUUGGCGAAGUAAUUGCAAUUUUCUUCUUGUAGCUCCCAUUUCCUGAUGAAGUGUACUAAUACCAAUUAAUAUUGUGGAUUAAAAAUUUCUAUUGUAAUUUUCUGGUACAUUAUGGAAGGCUUGGUGUGUCUAUACGGUUAUGGCAAGGACUCUGAUGUCAUUUUCUGGUCGCUUUUUAAUAUAUAAUUAAUAAAAUUAUUAUAUAUUUUUAUUAUAUUAUUAAUAAUUAGUAUAUAUUUUUAUUAUAUUUAAAUGAAGACAACUACAAAUUAAAGAGAACAACAAAUGGACAAAGGGUAGUAGGUCACCGGUGGACCCUACAAAUUAAAUGAAGACAACUGGCUGCAUUGAAAAUUUUGUUCUUUACAUAUGCAUACUUCUGAAUCACACUUCAAUGACUUUUUUAAAGUCAAGUAAAAUCAUACCUUAUAUAUAGCCGUUAUUAAUAUAUAAUAAUUAAUUAAUUGUGCAGACAGAAUCCAUGACAAAUAUGGUAUUCUGUAUUUGUUUAGAAUUUAGAUGGGUAAAAAUAAUAAAUAUCAUUACCUGUAUUGUAUAGCAAGAGCUUUUGAGCGCAAUGUUUCCUUUUUGAUAUCUAAGAUUUGAAAACAAAAUUUAAGCGCCAACUUUUUCUUUUUGACUGCACAAAUUUAAAGUCAGCUUUAAAAAUCAAUUCCUUCCAUUCAUUUUCUCUAUCUCUCUAUCAGUUUUUCUCCUCUUUUUCUCUCACGGUCUCUCGCUCUCUGAUUGCUGUAAUUUGAAAACACAAUUGCAAGAUGACUGAUGAAGCAUGGUGAGGUGCCAACUGCGUUUGUAUUGAGAGCAAAUGGUCACACUGACACAACUGAGGAUGAAAUUAAGCAAUUCGUUUCCAAAGAGGUGAUGAAGACAAAUUGAUUUGGAACUAUUUAGAAGAUGGAAGUUACUUAAAUAAGAAGCACUUGAAGAUAGAGAUCAUCUUUUCAUCCAUCUGAUGAGUGUUAACAUGCUGAACUUAAUUAAUCACUUAAUCAAAUCCAACCGGUAAAAAAAAGUGAUUUUAAAAUAUAGAAUUUAUUAUUCGAGAACUAUUUUUUUUGAUUGGCGGCUAGGCUGGUCCAGCAGCUAUCGUCAUUGCGAAUGACCUCGCAUAUUAUCAUCGACUGUUGUUGUUCUUCAAGUAUCCAAGUGAUGCAGAUAUUUGGUGGUGGACAUGAGAUAUGUGCUGCUGCCGAUAUUUAACCAGUUUUUUGAGGCUACUUGACGGAGUGUGGGUGUAUGAUAUUCUUCACCAGUCACAGAAGAGGAAGAAGAAAAAGAAACAAAAAAGGAAAAAAAAAGAGAUGGUGUAGUUGAACACCCCAAGCAAAACCCACAAUUUAUAGCGUAGCUUGUCUCAUUCAUGGACAUGACUUGUCUCAUUCAAGUACGAUUCGAUAUCUUGUAUAAAUUUUUUUUAUUUUAGUUUC
Long non-coding RNA from Arachis stenosperma, 2152 nucleotides. RefSeq lists it as uncharacterized. NCBI's taxonomy places the organism in Eukaryota, Viridiplantae, Streptophyta, Magnoliopsida, Fabales, Fabaceae. The record is from RefSeq and is a predicted model, not a curated record. The transcript has 4 exons.